Molecule: ribosomal RNA, 254 nt
Filed under: uncultured archaeon
Lineage: Archaea
Description: partial 16S ribosomal RNA
Rfam family: Archaeal small subunit ribosomal RNA
Source: RNAcentral
CACCGGCGCCACUAGUGGGGAUCAUAUUUAUUGGGUCUAAAGCAUCCGUAGCCAGCCUAGUAACUCUUUUGUGAAAUUGUUGUGCUUAACAUAACGACGUGCAAAGGAAACUACUAGGCUAGGGACCGGGAGGGGUUAGAGGUAUUCUAGGGGGAGCGGUAAAAUGUGAUAAUCCCUAGAGGACCACCAAUGGCGUAGGCAUCUAACUAGAACGGGUCCGACGGUGAGGGAUGAAGGCUAGGGGAGCGAUCCGG